GGUCUUGUGGCCAAAUGGAAAGGCGUCUGACUACGAAUCAGAAGAUUGCGAGUUCGAUCCUCGUCAAGACCU
This 72-nucleotide transfer RNA is filed under the name Hapsidospora chrysogenum ATCC 11550. RNAcentral describes it as "Acremonium chrysogenum ATCC 11550 tRNA". It matches the Rfam family "tRNA". From Rfam's summary of the family: Transfer RNA (tRNA) molecules are approximately 80 nucleotides in length. Lineage: Eukaryota; Fungi; Ascomycota; Sordariomycetes; Hypocreales; Bionectriaceae. The record is from Rfam by way of RNAcentral.